GUGCGGUUGGUGAAAUUGGCAGACACGAAGGAUUUAGGUUCCUUUGCCCUCGGCGUGCGGGUUCGAGUCCCGCACCGCACA
RNAcentral lists this transfer RNA (81 nucleotides) under Lentisphaerota bacterium. RNAcentral's name for it is "Lentisphaerae bacterium (feces metagenome) tRNA-Leu". It matches the Rfam family "tRNA". Rfam says of the family: Transfer RNA (tRNA) molecules are approximately 80 nucleotides in length. Lineage: Bacteria; Pseudomonadati; Lentisphaerota. The record is from RNAcentral.